This is a non-coding RNA of Cinara cedri, 379 nucleotides long. The record is from the annotation of a GenBank genome assembly. Lineage: Eukaryota; Metazoa; Arthropoda; Insecta; Hemiptera; Aphididae.
UACUUGAAUCCUACAAUAACGAUAAUUCGAUAAUUUUAGGAAAUUUCGAAAAAUAAAAUCUGAUUAAGAAUAACUUCUAUGAUUUUUCAUACAUAAAAUAAAAUUAAUAUACACUUAUAAUUAUUAACUACAUUAAAAGUCGACGUGGAUCAAGUUUUCAUUGACAACCUAACGUCGUCUGUUUAAUAUUGAAGAAUAUUAUGCUUGGAAUUUUUAUACUGCAUUCCUGUAUAAGGUUAACAGUCUGUUAAAUUACAAUAUACUUAACAAUAAUACAAUUUGAAAAAACAACAAAGGCCUUUUUUUUUUGAGGAUAAUACUUUAAUCCUACGAUUACGAUAAUUCUAUAAUUUAGGACAAUUUCGAACAGAAAAACAAA